Molecule: ribosomal RNA, 256 nt
Filed under: uncultured bacterium
Lineage: Bacteria
Description: partial 16S ribosomal RNA
Rfam family: Bacterial small subunit ribosomal RNA
Source: RNAcentral
GUCCACGCCGUAAACGAUGGAUACUAGCUGUUGGGCGCAAGUUCAGUGGCUAAGCGAAAGUGAUAAGUAUCCCACCUGGGGAGUACGUUCGCAAGAAUGAAACUCAAAGGAAUUGACGGGGGCCCCGCACAAGCGGUGGAGCAUGUGGUUUAAUUCGAUGAUACGCGAGGAACCUUACCAAGGCUUAAAUGUAGUUUGACCGGUUUGGAAACAGAUCUUUCGCAAGACAAAUUACAAGGUGCUGCAUGGUUGUCGU